This 179-nucleotide ribosomal RNA is filed under the name uncultured bacterium. RNAcentral's name for it is "partial 16S ribosomal RNA". It matches the Rfam family "Bacterial small subunit ribosomal RNA", at positions 335 to 526 of the family's 1533-position model. The record is from RNAcentral. RNAcentral also lists the same sequence under 1 other name.
ACUCCUACGGGAGGCAGCAGUAGGGAAUAUUGGGCAAUGGGCGCAAGCCUGACCCAGCGACGCCGCGUGAGGGAUGAAGGUCUUCGGAUUGUAAACCUCUUUCAGUAGGGAAGAAGCGAAAGUGACGGUACCUAAAGAAGAAGCACCGGCUAACUAUGUGCCAGCAGCCGCGGUAAUAC